RNAcentral lists this ribosomal RNA (2927 nucleotides) under Klebsiella oxytoca. RNAcentral's name for it is "bacterial LSU rRNA". It matches the Rfam family "Bacterial large subunit ribosomal RNA". The record is from RNAcentral. Lineage: Bacteria; Pseudomonadati; Pseudomonadota; Gammaproteobacteria; Enterobacterales; Enterobacteriaceae. RNAcentral also lists the same sequence under 1 other name.
GGGUUGUGAGGUUAAGCGACUAAGCGUACACGGUGGAUGCCCUGGCAGUCAGAGGCGAUGAAGGACGUGCUAAUCUGCGAAAAGCGUCGGUAAGGUGAUAUGAACCGUUACAGCCGGCGAUGUCCGAAUGGGGAAACCCAGUGCAAUUCGUUGCACUAUCGUUUGAUGAAUACAUAGUCAAACGAGGCGAACCGGGGGAACUGAAACAUCUAAGUACCCCGAGGAAAAGAAAUCAACCGAGAUUCCCCCAGUAGCGGCGAGCGAACGGGGAGCAGCCCGGAGUCUGAAUCAGCUUGUGUGUUAGUGGAAGCGUCUGGAAAGUCGCAGGGUACAGGGUGAUACUCCCGUACACUAAAACACACAGGUUGUGAACUCGAAGAGUAGGGCGGGACACGUGGUAUCCUGUCUGAAUAUGGGGGGACCAUCCUCCAAGGCUAAAUACUCCUGACUGACCGAUAGUGAACCAGUACCGUGAGGGAAAGGCGAAAAGAACCCCGGCGAGGGGAGUGAAAAAGAACCUGAAACCGUGUACGUACAAGCAGUAGGAGCCCACUAGUUGGGUGACUGCGUACCUUUUGUAUAAUGGGUCAGCGACUUAUAUUCUGUAGCAAGGUUAACCGUAUAGGGGAGCCGCAGGGAAACCGAGUCUUAACUGGGCGUUAAGUUGCAGGGUAUAGACCCGAAACCCGGUGAUCUAGCCAUGGGCAGGUUGAAGGUUGGGUAACACUAACUGGAGGACCGAACCGACUAAUGUUGAAAAAUUAGCGGAUGACUUGUGGCUGGGGGUGAAAGGCCAAUCAAACCGGGAGAUAGCUGGUUCUCCCCGAAAGCUAUUUAGGUAGCGCCUCGUGAAUUCAUCUUCGGGGGUAGAGCACUGUUUCGGCUAGGGGGUCAUCCCGACUUACCAACCCGAUGCAAACUACGAAUACCGAAGAAUGUUAUCACGGGAGACACACGGCGGGUGCUAACGUCCGUCGUGAAGAGGGAAACAACCCAGACCGCCAGCUAAGGUCCCAAAGUCAUGGUUAAGUGGGAAACGAUGUGGGAAGGCCCAGACAGCCAGGAUGUUGGCUUAGAAGCAGCCAUCAUUUAAAGAAAGCGUAAUAGCUCACUGGUCGAGUCGGCCUGCGCGGAAGAUGUAACGGGGCUAAACCAUGCACCGAAGCUGCGGCAGCGACACUAUGUGUUGUUGGGUAGGGGAGCGUUCUGUAAGCCGUUGAAGGUGGCCUGUGAGGGUUGCUGGAGGUAUCAGAAGUGCGAAUGCUGACAUAAGUAACGAUAAUGCGGGUGAAAAACCCGCACGCCGGAAGACCAAGGGUUCCUGUCCAACGUUAAUCGGGGCAGGGUGAGUCGACCCCUAAGGCGAGGCCGAAAGGCGUAGUCGAUGGGAAACAGGUUAAUAUUCCUGUACUCGGUGUUACUGCGAAGGGGGGACGGAGAAGGCUAUGUUGGCCGGGCGACGGUUGUCCCGGUUUAAGCAUGUAGGCGGAUGUUCCAGGUAAAUCCGGAACGUCACUAACGCUGAGGUGUGAUGACGAGGCACUACGGUGCUGAAGUGACAAAUGCCCUGCUUCCAGGAAAAGCCUCUAAGCAUCAGGUAACAUCAAAUCGUACCCCAAACCGACACAGGUGGUCAGGUAGAGAAUACCAAGGCGCUUGAGAGAACUCGGGUGAAGGAACUAGGCAAAAUGGUGCCGUAACUUCGGGAGAAGGCACGCUGAUGGUAGGUGAAGUGACUUGCUCAUGGAGCUGAAAUCAGUCGAAGAUACCAGCUGGCUGCAACUGUUUAUUAAAAACACAGCACUGUGCAAACACGAAAGUGGACGUAUACGGUGUGACGCCUGCCCGGUGCCGGAAGGUUAAUUGAUGGGGUUAUCCGUAAGGAGAAGCUCUUGAUCGAAGCCCCGGUAAACGGCGGCCGUAACUAUAACGGUCCUAAGGUAGCGAAAUUCCUUGUCGGGUAAGUUCCGACCUGCACGAAUGGCGUAAUGAUGGCCAGGCUGUCUCCACCCGAGACUCAGUGAAAUUGAACUCGCUGUGAAGAUGCAGUGUACCCGCGGCAAGACGGAAAGACCCCGUGAACCUUUACUAUAGCUUGACACUGAACACUGGUCCUUGAUGUGUAGGAUAGGUGGGAGGCUUUGAAGUGUGGACGCCAGUCUGCAUGGAGCCAUCCUUGAAAUACCACCCUUUAAUGGCUGGUGUUCUAACGUGGGCCCGUAAUCCGGGUUGCGGACAGUGUCUGGUGGGUAGUUUGACUGGGGCGGUCUCCUCCUAAAGAGUAACGGAGGAGCACGAAGGUCAGCUAAUCCUGGUCGGACAUCAGGAGGUUAGUGCAAUGGCAUAAGCUGGCUUGACUGCGAGCGUGACGGCGCGAGCAGGUGCGAAAGCAGGUCAUAGUGAUCCGGUGGUUCUGAAUGGAAGGGCCAUCGCUCAACGGAUAAAAGGUACUCCGGGGAUAACAGGCUGAUACCGCCCAAGAGUUCAUAUCGACGGCGGUGUUUGGCACCUCGAUGUCGGCUCAUCACAUCCUGGGGCUGAAGUAGGUCCCAAGGGUAUGGCUGUUCGCCAUUUAAAGUGGUACGCGAGCUGGGUUUAGAACGUCGUGAGACAGUUCGGUCCCUAUCUGCCGUGGGCGCUGGAGAAUUGAGGGGGGCUGCUCCUAGUACGAGAGGACCGGAGUGGACGCAUCACUGGUGUUCGGGUUGUCAUGCCAAUGGCAUUGCCCGGUAGCUAAAUGCGGAAGAGAUAAGUGCUGAAAGCAUCUAAGCACGAAACUUGCCCCGAGAUGAGUUCUCCCUGACCCUUUAAGGGUCCUGAAGGAACGUUGAAGACGACGACGUUGAUAGGCCGGGUGUGUAAGCGCAGCGAUGCGUUGAGCUAACCGGUACUAAUGAACCGUGAGGCUUAACCUUACAACGCCGAAG